UACGUAGGGACCAAGCGUUGUUCGGAUUUACUGGGCGUAAAGGGCGCGUAGGCGGCGUGGUAAGUCACUUGUGAAAUCUCUGAGCUUAACUCAGAACGGCCAAGUGAUACUGCUGUGCUAGAGUGCAGAAGGGGCAAUCGGAAUUCUUGGUGUAGCGGUGAAAUGCGUAGAUAUCAAGAGGAACACCUGAGGUGAAGACGGGUUGCUGGGCUGACACUGACGCUGAGGCGCGAAAGCCAGGGGAGCAAACAGG
RNAcentral lists this ribosomal RNA (253 nucleotides) under uncultured bacterium. RNAcentral's name for it is "partial 16S ribosomal RNA". It matches the Rfam family "Bacterial small subunit ribosomal RNA", at positions 524 to 776 of the family's 1533-position model. The record is from RNAcentral.